UGCCUAAUACAUGCAAGUAGAACGCUGAAGAGAGGAGCUUGCUCUUCUUGGAUGAGUUGCGAACGGGUGAGUAACGCGUAGGUAACCUGCCUUGUAGCGGGGGAUAACUAUUGGAAACGAUAGCUAAUACCGCAUAACAAUGGAUGACACAUGUCAUUUAUUUGAAAGGGGCAAUUGCUCCACUACAAGAUGGACCUGCGUUGUAUUAGCUAGUAGGUGAGGUAACGGCUCACCUAGGCGACGAUACAUAGCCGACCUGAGAGGGUGAUCGGCCACACUGGGACUGAGACACGGCCCAGACUCCUACGGGAGGCAGCAGUAGGGAAUCUUCGGCAAUGGGGGCAACCCUGACCGAGCAACGCCGCGUGAGUGAAGAAGGUUUUCGGAUCGUAAAGCUCUGUUGUAAGUCAAGAACGAGUGUGAGAGUGGAAAGUUCACACUGUGACGGUAGCUUACCAGAAAGGGACGGCUAACUACGUGCCAGCAGCCGCGGUAAUACGUAGGUCCCGAGCGUUGUCCGGAUUUAUUGGGCGUAAAGCGAGCGCAGGCGGUUUGAUAAGUCUGAAGUUAAAGGCUGUGGCUCAACCAUAGUUCGCUUUGGAAACUGUCAAACUUGAGUGCAGAAGGGGAGAGUGGAAUUCCAUGUGUAGCGGUGAAAUGCGUAGAUAUAUGGAGGAACACCGGUGGCGAAAGCGGCUCUCUGGUCUGUAACUGACGCUGAGGCUCGAAAGCGUGGGGAGCGAACAGGAUUAGAUACCCUGGUAGUCCACGCCGUAAACGAUGAGUGCUAGGUGUUGGAUCCUUUCCGGGAUUCAGUGCCGCAGCUAACGCAUUAAGCACUCCGCCUGGGGAGUACGACCGCAAGGUUGAAACUCAAAGGAAUUGACGGGGGCCCGCACAAGCGGUGGAGCAUGUGGUUUAAUUCGAAGCAACGCGAAGAACCUUACCAGGUCUUGACAUCCCGAUGCUAUUUCUAGAGAUAGAAAGUUACUUCGGUACAUCGGUGACAGGUGGUGCAUGGUUGUCGUCAGCUCGUGUCGUGAGAUGUUGGGUUAAGUCCCGCAACGAGCGCAACCCCUAUUGUUAGUUGCCAUCAUUCAGUUGGGCACUCUAGCGAGACUGCCGGUAAUAAACCGGAGGAAGGUGGGGAUGACGUCAAAUCAUCAUGCCCCUUAUGACCUGGGCUACACACGUGCUACAAUGGUUGGUACAACGAGUUGCGAGUCGGUGACGGCAAGCUAAUCUCUUAAAGCCAAUCUCAGUUCGGAUUGUAGGCUGCAACUCGCCUACAUGAAGUCGGAAUCGCUAGUAAUCGCGGAUCAGCACGCCGCGGUGAAUACGUUCCCGGGCCUUGUACACACCGCCCGUCACACCACGAGAGUUUGUAACACCCGAAGUCGGUGAGGUAACCUUUUGGAGCCAGCCGCCUAAGGUG
Molecule: ribosomal RNA, 1435 nt
Filed under: bacterium
Lineage: Bacteria
Description: bacterial SSU rRNA
Rfam family: Bacterial small subunit ribosomal RNA
Source: RNAcentral